UAAGUCUGGUGCCAGCAGCCGCGGUAAUUCCAGCUCCAAUAGCGUAUAUUAAAGUUGUUGCAGUUAAAAAGCUCGUAGUUGAACUUUGGGCUUGGUCAGCCGGUCCGCUUUUUUGCGUGUACUGGUCCUGACCGAGCCUUUCCUUCUGGCUAACCUGUCUCUCGGGGCAGGCGAACCAGGACUUUUACUUUGAAAAAAUUAGAGUGUUCAAAGCAGGCCUUUGCUCGAAUAUAUUAGCAUGGAAUAAUAGAAUAGGACGUUUGGUUCUAUUUUGUUGGUUUCUAGGACCAUCGUAAUGAUUAAUAGGGACGGUCGGGGGCAUCAGUAUUCAAUUGUCAGAGGUGAAAUUCUUGGAUUUAUUGAAGACUAACUACUGCGAAAGCAUUUGCCAAA
This 393-nucleotide ribosomal RNA is filed under the name uncultured fungus. Its description in RNAcentral is "SSU rRNA". It matches the Rfam family "Eukaryotic small subunit ribosomal RNA", at positions 556 to 962 of the family's 1831-position model. The record is from RNAcentral. Lineage: Eukaryota; Fungi.